Asparagus officinalis (garden asparagus) is the source of this 815-nucleotide long non-coding RNA. RefSeq lists it as uncharacterized. The transcript has 4 exons. Lineage: Eukaryota; Viridiplantae; Streptophyta; Magnoliopsida; Asparagales; Asparagaceae. The record is from RefSeq and is a predicted model, not a curated record.
AGCUAACAGCUUUCAGCUACAAUUUCACAGCUUUCAGCUAGCUUAACAGCUAUCAGCUAUAAUCUCGCAGCUUUCAGCUAGUUUUGCCAAACAGAGCCUAAAUGUCAGGAGACUUCUAUAGGGAGGUGAGGUCUUUAUCUGAUUUCUUAUAUGCAGGAUCUAAGUGAUGAAUCAGCAAAAGAGAUCCUGUGAACAAUCAUGCUCCAUAAUUAACUUGUGGCUCUAAACAUUUUAUAGCAAUGGUAUCCACACUUUUUUUUCUGCUUUUUCAGAUUUGGCUGUCUUUGUAGGAGGUGACAGAAGCAAUAACAGCUCUAACAGUGGCCGGAUUUUGUGUUCUCCUACUUCAUCAGUGAGCUAUUGACAAGGUCUCUGAGGAAAUGUUUCUGCUGAAAAGCUACUACAGCUCCAAUUCAGUCCGUGGCUGAUGGAACUGAAAGCUGCUUCCUAUGAGGCAAUUUAUGGCAAGAGUAUGAUUACAUGCGCUGCGCCUCAAAUACCAGUUAACAGAAGAGAAAAAAGGGGAAAAGUGCUGAGCUUCUGUCUAACUGGGUUUACAGAGAUGUGGUCAUUUUUACCUUGAGGUGCUCAGAUGUUCAAAAUAAAAUGCUUAUUCAAUACUACUUGAUGAAAUCACAUUCAGGUGAAGCUUUACCGAACACGAGGCAAGGGAUUGGAUUUGCUUGAGGGGUGAAGAUUCUGAUGCUUGAGGGCAAACAGGACAGCGCCAACCUUGAACAGACAGAGAAGCUAAACAAACAGCCAAUGAAGCAUGAAUUGUUGAGACUAGGCGAUUGCUGAAAUCAAACGAGCGA